MicroRNA precursor from Oryza sativa Japonica Group (Japanese rice), 208 nucleotides. It matches the Rfam family "MIR812 microRNA precursor family". Lineage: Eukaryota; Viridiplantae; Streptophyta; Magnoliopsida; Poales; Poaceae. The record is from Rfam.
AAAAAGACAAACGCUGGUUUCCGUGUCCAAUGUUUGACCGUCCGUCUUAUUUAGAAAAAAAUAUGAAAAAAAUUAAAAAGACAAGUCACGCAUAAAAUAUUAAUCAUGUUUUAUCAUCUAACAAUAAUAAAAAUACGAAUUAUAAAAAAAAAUUUCAUAUAAGACGGACAGUCAAAGUUGGACACGGAAACCCAGGGUUUGUCUUUUU